GCACAACGGCAAGGUGCUGCUGCUGCUGCUGGGAGGCCACAACAGGCACAUUCUCAAGCCCCAUCCCCUUCUGGCUCACCCUCCACCUCUCCUGCCCAAUCCCCCUCUCCUGGCCAAUCCCCCUCUCCUGCCCAAUCCCCCUCUCCUGCCCAAUCCCCCUCUCCAGCCACCUCACCCUCUUUUGCCCACUCCCCCUCUCCAGCCACCUCACCCUCUCCAGCCACCUCACUCUCAUUUUCCCACUCCCCCUCUCCAGCCCAAGCCCACUCUCUUUCCCAAUCCCCCUCUCCAGCCCACACCCCCUCUCCAGCCCAAUCCCACUCUCUUUCCAAAUUCCCCUCUCUGCCCCCCUCCCCCUCUGUGUCCCAAAAAAGCACACCACCACCCUCACCUUAUCAUUCCCAAACCCCCUCUGUAAGUACCUCCCCCUUCCAUCCUCUCACACAAUUGGACCCUCCUUCCCCCAUCCUGCCUCCUUCCCCCAUCCAGCACCCAUUCCCCAUCCAGCCAACCUCACCCAUCCAGCCUCCAUCCCCCAGCCAGCCAACUUCGCCACCAACAGAAUGGGCAGCAGAGGCCCCGGAGCCACUAGAGGGAGGUGGCCAAGUGGCAGAGGAGAAUGGUGCCGUUGGAGAUCCCACAAGACUGGCAGUCAUCGUUGCCCGCAUGAAGGCACAUGUGGAGGCCAUGUUGGCCGAAGUUGACGUCUUAAAAAAUUUACUUUAAAAUAAUUUGUUAAAAAAAGUUUCUUUUACAAUUUUGUUUAAAAAAAAAAUAUGUGGAAAUAAUAAAAAUGUAUUUUACUCCGUUA
Long non-coding RNA from Pseudophryne corroboree (corroboree frog), 811 nucleotides. RefSeq lists it as uncharacterized. The transcript is spliced from 2 exons. NCBI's taxonomy places the organism in Eukaryota, Metazoa, Chordata, Amphibia, Anura, Myobatrachidae. The record is from RefSeq and is a predicted model, not a curated record.